RNAcentral lists this ribosomal RNA (889 nucleotides) under Xanthoparmelia orientalis. Its description in RNAcentral is "eukaryotic LSU rRNA". It matches the Rfam family "Eukaryotic large subunit ribosomal RNA", at positions 1 to 904 of the family's 3401-position model. Lineage: Eukaryota; Fungi; Ascomycota; Lecanoromycetes; Lecanorales; Parmeliaceae. The record is from RNAcentral.
UUGACCUCGGAUCAGGUAGGGAUACCCGCUGAACUUAAGCAUAUCAAUAAGCGGAGGAAAAGAAACCAACAGGGAUUGCCUCAGUAACGGCGAGUGAAGCGGCAACAGCUCAAAUUUGAAAUCUGGCUCCUUCGGGGUCCGAAUUGUAAUUUGUAGAGAGUGCUUCGGGCGAGACCUCGGUCUAAGUCCAUUGGAACAUGGUGUCAUAGAGGGUGAGAAUCCCGUAUGCGACCGUGGCUCGAGCCCAUGUGAAGCCUCUUCGACGAGUCGAGUUGUUUGGGAAUGCAGCUCAAAAUGGGUGGUAAAUUUCAUCUAAAGCUAAAUACUGGCUGGAGACCGAUAGCGCACAAGUAGAGUGAUCGAAAGAUGAAAAGCACUUUGGAAAGAGAGUCAAACAGUACGUGAAAUUGUUGAAAGGGAAGCGCUUGCAACCAGACCUGCCCGUAGGCGAUCCGCCGCUGUUCUCAGCGGUGUACUCGCUCUGCGAUCAGGCCAGCAUCGGUUUCGGCGGUCGGAUAAAGGCCUUGGGAAUGUAGCUUCCCCUCGGGGGAGUCUUAUAGCCCUCGGUGUAAUGCGGCCAGCUGGGACCGAGGACCGCGCUUCGGCUAGGAUGCUGGCGUAAUGGUUGUAAGCGACCCGUCUUGAAACACGGACCAAGGAGUCUAACAUCUAUGCGAGUGUUUGGGUGUCAAACCCAUACGCGAAAUGAAAGUGAACGGAGGUGAGAACCCUUAAGGGCGCAUCAUCGACCGAUCCAGAUGUCUUCGGAUGGAUUUGAGUAUGAGCAUAGCUGUUGGGACCCGAAAGAUGGUGAACUAUGCCUGAAUAGGGUGAAGCCAGAGGAAACUCUGGUGGAGGCUCGCAGCGGUUCUGACGUGCAAAUCGAUCG